UACGUAGGGGGCAAGCGUUGUCCGGAAUCAUUGGGCGUAAAGAGCGUGUAGGCGGUUCGGUAAGUCGGCUGUGAAAGUCCAGGGCUCAACCCUGGGGUGCCGGUCGAUACUGCCGGACUAGAGUUCGGAAGAGGCGAGUGGAAUUCCCGGUGUAGCGGUGAAAUGCGCAGAUAUCGGGAGGAACACCUAUGGCGAAGGCAGCUCGCUGGGACGUUACUGACGCUGAGACGCGAAAGCGUGGGGAGCAAACAGG
This 253-nucleotide ribosomal RNA is filed under the name uncultured bacterium. RNAcentral describes it as "partial 16S ribosomal RNA". It matches the Rfam family "Bacterial small subunit ribosomal RNA", at positions 524 to 776 of the family's 1533-position model. The record is from RNAcentral.